ACGCUCGACACCUACGGGACGCAGCAGUGGGGAAUAUUGCACAAUGGGGGAAACCCUGAUGCAGCAACGCCGCGUGAAGGAAGACGGUUUUCGGAUUGUAAACUUCUGUUCUUAGUGAAGAUAGUGACGGUAGCUAAGGAGCAAGCCACGGCUAACUACGUGUCAGCAGCCGCGGUAAUCUGAGCGGGCUGGCAAGGC
Molecule: ribosomal RNA, 198 nt
Filed under: uncultured bacterium
Lineage: Bacteria
Description: partial 16S ribosomal RNA
Rfam family: Bacterial small subunit ribosomal RNA
Source: RNAcentral